RNAcentral lists this ribosomal RNA (635 nucleotides) under uncultured Marinobacter sp. Its description in RNAcentral is "bacterial SSU rRNA". It matches the Rfam family "Bacterial small subunit ribosomal RNA", at positions 870 to 1504 of the family's 1533-position model. The record is from RNAcentral. Lineage: Bacteria; Pseudomonadati; Pseudomonadota; Gammaproteobacteria; Pseudomonadales; Marinobacteraceae.
CGCCUGGGGAGUACGGCCGCAAGGUUAAAACUCAAAUGAAUUGACGGGGGCCCGCACAAGCGGUGGAGCAUGUGGUUUAAUUCGACGCAACGCGAAGAACCUUACCUGGCCUUGACAUCCAGAGAACCUUCCAGAGAUGGAUUGGUGCCUUCGGGAACUCUGAGACAGGUGCUGCAUGGCCGUCGUCAGCUCGUGUCGUGAGAUGUUGGGUUAAGUCCCGUAACGAGCGCAACCCCUAUCCCUGGUUGCUAGCAGGUAAUGCUGAGAACUCCAGGGAGACUGCCGGUGACAAACCGGAGGAAGGUGGGGAUGACGUCAGGUCAUCAUGGCCCUUACGGCCAGGGCUACACACGUGCUACAAUGGCGCGUACAGAGGGCUGCCAACUCGCGAGAGUGAGCCAAUCCCUUAAAACGCGUCGUAGUCCGGAUCGGAGUCUGCAACUCGACUCCGUGAAGUCGGAAUCGCUAGUAAUCGCGAAUCAGAAUGUCGCGGUGAAUACGUUCCCGGGCCUUGUACACACCGCCCGUCACACCAUGGGAGUGGAUUGCACCAGAAGUAGUUAGUCUAACCUUCGGGAGGACGAUUACCACGGUGUGGUUCAUGACUGGGGUGAAGUCGUAACAAGGUAACCGUA